Molecule: ribosomal RNA, 403 nt
Filed under: Fusobacteriota bacterium
Lineage: Bacteria; Fusobacteriati; Fusobacteriota
Description: Fusobacteria bacterium partial 16S ribosomal RNA
Rfam family: Bacterial small subunit ribosomal RNA
Source: RNAcentral
UGGGGAAUAUUGCACAAUGGAGGGAACUCUGAUGCAGCGACGCCGCGUGAACGAAGAAGGCUUUCGAGUCGUAAAGUUCUUUUAUAUGGGAAGAUAAUGACGGUACCAUAAGAAAAAGCCCCGGCUAACUACGUGCCAGCAACCGCGGUAAUACGUAGGGGGCUAGCGUUGUCCGGAAUCACUGGGCGUAAAGGGUUCGCAGGCGGAAAUGCAAGUCAGGUGUAAAAGGCAGUAGCUUAACUACUGUAAGCAUUUGAAACUGCAUAUCUUGAGAAGAGUAGAGGUAAGUGGAAUUUUUAGUGUAGCGGUGAAAUGCGUAGAUAUUAAAAAGAAUACCGGUGGCGAAGGCGACUUACUGGGCUCAUUCUGACGCUGAGGAACGAAAGCGUGGGUAGCAAACAGG